This is a transfer RNA of 89 nucleotides. It matches the Rfam family "tRNA". From Rfam's summary of the family: Transfer RNA (tRNA) molecules are approximately 80 nucleotides in length. Their secondary structure includes four short double-helical elements and three loops (D, anti-codon, and T loops). Further hydrogen bonds mediate the characteristic L-shaped molecular structure. tRNAs have two regions of fundamental functional importance: the anti-codon, which is responsible for specific mRNA codon recognition, and the 3' end, to which the tRNAs corresponding amino acid is attached (by aminoacyl-tRNA synthetases). tRNAs cope with the degeneracy of the genetic code in two manners: having more than one tRNA (with a specific anti-codon) for a particular amino acid; and 'wobble' base-pairing, i.e. permitting non-standard base-pairing at the 3rd anti-codon position.
GCCGGGGUGGCCGAGUUGGCCGAAGGCGGCGGAUAAGCAAUCCGCUUCCCCCUGCGGGUCCGUGGGUUCGAAUCCCACCCCCGGCGCCA